This is a transfer RNA of 101 nucleotides. It matches the Rfam family "tRNA". From Rfam's summary of the family: Transfer RNA (tRNA) molecules are approximately 80 nucleotides in length.
AUCAGUUUGGCCGAGUGGUUAAGGCGAUAGACUUGAAUUGACUAUCAGUUUAAGAUAUCUAUUGGGCUCUGCCCGCGUCGGUUCAAAUCCGGCAGCUGAUG